RNAcentral lists this ribosomal RNA (406 nucleotides) under uncultured bacterium. RNAcentral describes it as "partial 16S ribosomal RNA". It matches the Rfam family "Bacterial small subunit ribosomal RNA", at positions 28 to 526 of the family's 1533-position model. The record is from RNAcentral.
GAUUAACGCUGGCGGCGUGCUUAACACAUGCAAGUCGAACGAAGUGGCGGAAGGGUGAGUAACGCGUGAGUAACCUGCCUUACACAAGGGGAUAGCCGUUGGAAAAGACCAAUAAUCCCCUAUGGUGUAAGAUGGAGUCGCGUCUGAUUAGCAAGGUGGUGAGGUAACGGCCCACCAAGGCAACGAUCAGUAGCUGGCUGUGGAGAGUGGACGGCAACAUUGGGACUGAGAGACGUGCCAGACUCUAGGGGAGGCAGCAGUGGUGAAGUAGGCACGAUGGGGGAAAGCCUGAUGCAGCGACGCCGCGUGAUUUAGAAGGCCGUCGGGUAGUAAAAAUCUUUUGUAUGCGAAGCAGUACCAUACGAAUAAGGACCGGCUAACUCCGUGCCAGCAGCCGCGGUAAUUC